CGCCUCGCUUUUCUUUGGGUUCUCAUCGGGUUUUGCUGUGGAUGCAGCAGCUGCGGCGGGUUUCACGGAUGCUGCUGGACCACCUUUUGCUGAUGCUUGACGCUUGAUCUUGGGGGAAACAGGAUUGGUCUCCUGAGCUUGCUGUGCCAUUGCUGCUUGCCGAGGAGCAAUAGAUGCUGCUCUGCGCAUAACGGGCUGCGCUUGUUUUUGUGGUUGCUG
RNAcentral lists this long non-coding RNA (219 nucleotides) under Hordeum vulgare. Its description in RNAcentral is "long non-coding RNA (HVUL_LNC010380)". Lineage: Eukaryota; Viridiplantae; Streptophyta; Magnoliopsida; Poales; Poaceae. The record is from RNAcentral.